GAAGCUACCAUCUGUGAGAUUAUGACUGAAGGCCUCUAAGUCAGAAUCCCACCCAGGC
RNAcentral lists this ribosomal RNA (58 nucleotides) under Ailuropoda melanoleuca (giant panda). RNAcentral's name for it is "similar to 28S ribosomal RNA". Lineage: Eukaryota; Metazoa; Chordata; Mammalia; Carnivora; Ursidae. The record is from RNAcentral.